GAUGAACGCUGGCGGCGUGCUUAACACAUGCAAGUCGAACGAAACACCUUAUUUGAUUUUCUUCGGAACUGAAGAUUUGGUGGUUGAGUGGCGGACGGGUGAGUAACGCGUGGGUAACCUACCCUGUACAGGGGGAUAACAGUCAGAAAUGACUGCUAAUACCGCAUAAGACCACAGCACCGCAUGGUGCAGGGGUAAAAACUCCGGUGGUACAGGAUGGACCCGCGUCUGAUUAGCUGGUUGGUGAGGUAACGGCUCACCAAGGCGACGAUCAGUAGCCGGCUUGAGAGAGUGAACGGCCACAUUGGGACUGAGACACGGCCCAAACUCCUACGGGAGGCAGCAGUGGGGAAUAUUGCACAAUGGGGGAAACCCUGAUGCAGCGACGCCGCGUGAGUGAAGAAGUAUUUCGGUAUGUAAAGCUCUAUCAGCAGGGAAGAAAAUGACGGUACCUGACUAAGAAGCCCCGGCUAACUACGUGCCAGCAGCCGCGGUAAUACGUAGGGGGCAAGCGUUAUCCGGAAUUACUGGGUGUAAAGGGUGCGUAGGUGGUAUGGCAAGUCAGAAGUGAAAACCCAGGGCUUAACUCUGGGACUGCUUUUGAAACUGUCAGACUGGAGUGCAGGAGAGGUAAGCGGAAUUCCUAGUGUAGCGGUGAAAUGCGUAGAUAUUAGGAGGAACAUCAGUGGCGAAGGCGGCUUACUGGACUGAAACUGACACUGAGGCACGAAAGCGUGGGGAGCAAACAGGAUUAGAUACCCUGGUAGCCCACGCCGUAAACG
RNAcentral lists this ribosomal RNA (782 nucleotides) under uncultured bacterium. Its description in RNAcentral is "bacterial SSU rRNA". It matches the Rfam family "Bacterial small subunit ribosomal RNA", at positions 28 to 808 of the family's 1533-position model. The record is from RNAcentral.